RNAcentral lists this ribosomal RNA (540 nucleotides) under Weissella confusa. RNAcentral's name for it is "bacterial SSU rRNA". It matches the Rfam family "Bacterial small subunit ribosomal RNA", at positions 56 to 551 of the family's 1533-position model. Lineage: Bacteria; Bacillati; Bacillota; Bacilli; Lactobacillales; Lactobacillaceae. The record is from RNAcentral.
UGCAGUCGAACGCUUUGUGGUUCAACUGAUUUGAAGAGCUUGCUCAGAUAUGACGAUGGACAUUGCAAAGAGUGGCGAACGGGUGAGUAACACGUGGGAAACCUACCUCUUAGCAGGGGAUAACAUUUGGAAACAGAUGCUAAUACCGUAUAACAAUGACAACCGCAUGGUUGUUAUUUAAAAGAUGGUUCUGCUAUCACUAAGAGAUGGUCCCGCGGUGCAUUAGCUAGUUGGUAAGGUAAUGGCUUACCAAGGCGAUGAUGCAUAGCCGAGUUGAGAGACUGAUCGGCCACAAUGGGACUGAGACACGGCCCAUACUCCUACGGGAGGCAGCAGUAGGGAAUCUUCCACAAUGGGCGAAAGCCUGAUGGAGCAACGCCGCGUGUGUGAUGAAGGGUUUCGGCUCGUAAAACACUGUUGUAAGAGAAGAAUGACAUUGAGAGUAACUGUUCAAUGUGUGACGGUAUCUUACCAGAAAGGAACGGCUAAAUACGUGCCAGCAGCCGCGGUAAUACGUAUGUUCCAAGCGUUAUCCGGAUU